AUUGAACGCUGGCGGCAUGCCUUACACAUGCAAGUCGAACGGCAGCACGGGUGCUUGCCCCUGGUGGCGAGUGGCGAACGGGUGAGUAAUACAUCGGAACAUGUCCUGUAGUGGGGGAUAGCCCGGCGAAAGCCGGAUUAAUACCGCAUACGAUCCUCGGAUGAAAGCGGGGGACCUUCGGGCCUCGCGCUAUAGGGUUGGCCGAUGGCUGAUUAGCUAGUUGGUGGGGUAAAGGCCUACCAAGGCGACGAUCAGUAGCUGGUCUGAGAGGACGACCAGCCACACUGGGACUGAGACACGGCCCAGACUCCUACGGGAGGCAGCAGUGGGGAAUUUUGGACAAUGGGCGAAAGCCUGAUCCAGCAAUGCCGCGUGUGUGAAGAAGGACUUCGGGUUGUAAAGCACUUUUGUCCGGAAAGAAAUCCUUGACUCUAAUACAGUCGGGGGAUGACGGUACCGGAAGAAUAAGCACCGGCUAACUACGUG
Molecule: ribosomal RNA, 486 nt
Filed under: uncultured bacterium
Lineage: Bacteria
Description: partial 16S ribosomal RNA
Rfam family: Bacterial small subunit ribosomal RNA
Source: RNAcentral